This 483-nucleotide ribosomal RNA is filed under the name uncultured bacterium. Its description in RNAcentral is "bacterial SSU rRNA". It matches the Rfam family "Bacterial small subunit ribosomal RNA", at positions 1025 to 1509 of the family's 1533-position model. The record is from RNAcentral.
AACUCUGAGACAGGUGCUGCAUGGCUGUCGUCAGCUCGUGUUGUGAAAUGUGGGUUAAGUCCCGCAACGAGCGCAACCCUUAUCCUUUGUUGCCAGCGGCUCGGCCGGGAACUCAAAGGAGACUGCCGGUGAUAAACCGGAGGAAGGUGGGGAUGACGUCAAGUCAUCAUGGCCCUUACGGCCAGGGCUACACACGUGCUACAAUGGCGCAUACAAAGAGAAGCGACCUCGCGAGAGCAAGCGGACCUCAUAAAGUGCGUCGUAGUCCGGAUUGGAGUCUGCAACUCGACUCCAUGAAGUCGGAAUCGCUAGUAAUCGUAGAUCAGAAUGCUACGGUGAAUACGUUCCCGGGCCUUGUACACACCGCCCGUCACACCAUGGGAGUGGGUUGCAAAAGAAGUAGGUAGCUUAACCUUCGGGAGGGCGCUUACCACUUUGUGAUUCAUGACUGGGGUGAAGUCGUAACAAGGUAGGCGUACGUGU